AUAGAUAAUAUAGCUGUUAGGAAAAAAAAGAACUAAAUAACAGGAAAAAAGCAGUAUGCAGCAAUAAAAUUAAUACCUACGUAAAACUAGCAGUGCAAUAAGAGAAGCAGAAAGCAGCUUUACAUGGAAAAAAAAAGGUAUUUAAAUACAGAAAUAGCACCUUAUAAAAAGGAAUUGAGAAAUGUAAACUUGGUAGGUAGAUUCAAGUAUAAAAGUUAUACCCCCAACUCUUGUACCAGAAUGAAAGGGUUUCACAAACCCUGGACAGUGUAGGGCACACACCUUCCUCAGUGCCAACUCAAAAGCUGCAGGAUCGCCAACAAUGGGUUUUUCCUUUUACUAAUUUACACAAUGAUCGACUCAGGCUGGCUACAGCUUCUUCACGCACGCAAAUACCCACGUGCAGCUCAGCAGCGUCACUACCGCCAGUUGCUCUGUAAGAAACAGACUCGCGUCCUGACAGGAGCAACCACUGCAUUAUUAUUUCAUCUUUAUGUAUCACAAAGCCACAUUAAGAGGUGGGUACUGAGCACAGAAGGAGUUUGUUCUUAGUUUUCUACUGCUAAGUAUGUCACAGUCAUAAUGGUCUCCUCUAUGGGGCUGCUUCUUAACACUCCUCAAGAACCGUGAAUUCUCUGAGGUUUAUGUAGUCAUAUCAUGAACAGAAUAAAAAAAGAUGAAAAAGAAGUUAAAGUAGUAAGUGGCGAGCAUCCAAGAACAGGAAGGGCAGAUUGUUACGUCUUGAUGGGGAACCUAUCAUACUAGUUUAGGGUAAUCAUUACCAUGCAAUUGUUGAUGAUCAGAACCAUGUUUUUAUCUGUUUAACUCUAGAGAAGACUGAAAAAGGGAAAAAAAAAAUCUUGUAAACUUUAAAAGUUUAGUGUUGAUAAAAAAUUUUAUAUAAUAGCAAAUUUAUUUAAUCUGACUACCUACCUGAAGUUUUCAAAAAUCUCGUGGGGGUAAUAAGGCUAAUAUUAUCCUGUAGUUAAUAUAAAGCUACUUUACUGAGACUCCCAGAGUCUCUUAAAUUAAUAUUUUUAUUCUUUCAUAUAAU
RNAcentral lists this long non-coding RNA (1054 nucleotides) under Equus caballus (horse). Its description in RNAcentral is "lncRNA (ENSECAG00000050576.1)". The record is from RNAcentral. Lineage: Eukaryota; Metazoa; Chordata; Mammalia; Perissodactyla; Equidae.